Molecule: ribosomal RNA, 489 nt
Filed under: uncultured eukaryote
Lineage: Eukaryota
Description: bacterial SSU rRNA
Rfam family: Eukaryotic small subunit ribosomal RNA
Source: RNAcentral
CAUGGCCGUUCUUAGUUGGUGGAGUGAUUUGUCUGGUUAAUUCCGUUAACGAACGAGACCUUAACCUGUUAACUAGUACUCGUGUCCAAAACAGGAGUUACUUCUUAGAGGGACUAAUGGAUUGAAGCCAUUGGAAGUUUGAGGCAAUAACAGGUCUGUGAUGCCCCUAGAUGUACCGGGCCGCACGCGUUCUACAAUGACUUGUGCAACAAGUCCUAUCCUGGCUCGAGAGAGUACGGGUAAUCUUUAUAAUGCAAGUCGUAUUAGGGAUCGAUCUUUGGAAUUAUAGAUCUUGAACAAGGAAUACCUAGUAAGUGUUCGUCAUCAGCGAGCACUGAUUACGUCCCUGUCGUUUGCACACACCGCCCGUCGCUCCUACCGAUUCCGAGUGGUGAGGUGGAAUUUGUGGACCUAGUGGCUCUCGAGGCUGUUGGGGAAGCAACUUAAACCUUAUCACUUAGAGGAAGGAUAAGUCGUAACAAGGUAACC